Molecule: small RNA, 32 nt
Filed under: Bombyx mori (domestic silkworm)
Lineage: Eukaryota; Metazoa; Arthropoda; Insecta; Lepidoptera; Bombycidae
Description: ovarian small RNA-25756
Source: RNAcentral
UCAGUACCGAAGUGGCGCCAGCGGGCCCCGGU